AAUGCCCCUUCCCUCUGGAUACUGGACUGGGUCUUUUUCUUGUCUGCGCUACUCUAGAGUCAAGGCACUGUUUCCUCUGUUGCAGUCUCGCUGCUAUUCCAGCUAGUGUCCNNNNNNCUUCGCCCCCGCCGUCUCCGGCGCCGGAGCUGCUGCUGCAACCUUCUUUACACAUCCUCUACACGCUCUGCACCCCGACCACAAACCACCACAAAGAUAUUUUAUCGUGCCUGUAAUUCCAACUUGUGGAGUAUGGACCGGUUAGCCAUAUCCUUUCUUCUAUUGGUUCCUGAAAUUUCUAUAUAAACAUAGGAACAACCCAAUCGACAACUUAAACAUUCGAAGCUUAGAAAGACUCUGAACAAAGAUGGCUGGUCAAGAAAAAACUCUAGUGGAAAUCUUAGAAGAGAAUAACCCUAUUGAUCUUUCCAAAUACAUAAACUAUGUCAGUGCUCCACAGGCUGGUGCCAUAGCUACAUUUUCAGGCACAACUCGGGACACA
This 499-nucleotide unclassified non-coding RNA is filed under the name Hevea brasiliensis (rubber tree). The record is from RNAcentral. Lineage: Eukaryota; Viridiplantae; Streptophyta; Magnoliopsida; Malpighiales; Euphorbiaceae.